UACGAAGGGGGCUAGCGUUGCUCGGAAUCACUGGGCGUAAAGGGUGCGUAGGCGGGUCUUUAAGUCAGGGGGGAAAUCCUGGAGCUCAACUCCAGAACUGCCUUUGAUACUGAAGAUCUUGAGUUCGGGAGAGGUGAGUGGAACUGCGAGUGUAGAGGUGAAAUUCGUAGAUAUUCGCAAGAACACCAGUGGCGAAGGCGGCUCACUGGCCCGAUACUGACGCUGAGGCACGAAAGCAUGGGGAGCAAACAGG
RNAcentral lists this ribosomal RNA (253 nucleotides) under uncultured bacterium. RNAcentral describes it as "partial 16S ribosomal RNA". It matches the Rfam family "Bacterial small subunit ribosomal RNA", at positions 524 to 776 of the family's 1533-position model. The record is from RNAcentral.